Molecule: ribosomal RNA, 263 nt
Filed under: uncultured bacterium
Lineage: Bacteria
Description: partial 16S ribosomal RNA
Rfam family: Bacterial small subunit ribosomal RNA
Source: RNAcentral
GUCCACGCUGUAAACGAUGUCUACUAGUUGUUGGGACCCUUGAGGUCUUAGUGACGCAGCUAACGCAUUAAGUAGACCGCCUGGGGAGUACGGUCGCAAGAUUAAAACUCAAAUGAAUUGACGGGGGCCCGCACAAGCGGUGGAGCAUGUGGUUUAAUUCGAAGCAACGCGAAGAACCUUACCUACUCUUGACAUCCUGAUAAUUCGGUAGAGAUACCUUAGUGCCUUCGGGAAAUCAGUGACAGGUGCUGCAUGGCUGUCGU